CACCAGCUGCAAAGGAACCCUUGGUUUGACAAAGACUGAGGGAGUGGCCGAUUAUCUAAUUUCAUACCAAAAGGUAAGACGAAACAACCAAGGAGUAGUACUGUCCACUGCGUGUGACCCAGUAGAAAAAUCCAAUACCAGACUGCUUAAAGCCUCCGAAAGAAGGCAUGACGUCGGCACAAGGACGAGCUAAAGAGGACGAAGCUGGUAGAGCCUCUCACCAGCCCGGCAGAAGCGAGUACGGUUGCAUGUGGUAAUGACAGACGCCUCCGGAACCACUUGACAGUUUGGACGGAAAGAAGCAAGUAUGACUCCUUUUCCUACUUCUUUGCCGACCCUUCCCGAGGCAACCAGUUCCACAGAAAACCAGACGCUCGCGGCAGAACUUCAAGACUGCCCCAUCGUUGAGACCCAACGCUAACAGUAUCUUUUGCUCAACGAAAGCUAAAAUUAUCUAUUGGUCUCAGCUUUCUUUCCCAAUGUGCACGCUUUCCUGAACAGUAGUCGGUUUUUUCGUGUGAGAAUUUCGAGCCCUCCCAUAUGCUUGACUUGCCUCAUUGGUUCGGCUGAUCACAUGAUAAAGUUUGGAGAUGGCGUGCUUGAGUGUGUAGCUGUCAAGAGUUCCGCAGUAGAUGAGCACGCGCAGAAUGCAGAGGUGGUAGUGGAAUGCGGUGAAGGGAGUGUUAUGUAAGAACCGGAACGUAGGCUGGGACGGAAGAACAGAGAGGGGAACAAGAGGCACUGUUUGUUUGCCUCCUUUCGCUGCUACACGCGUUCUUUCCAUACACAUGGAAACUCCGCGUAGCGCUCAGGGACAUACCGGACACACCUGAGCAGUGUCGGACGUCGCUUGUUGGGCAGCUGUGCCCCGGGGUGUUGCACAGUACCCGAAGGAUAAGGAACUGGAACGACGCUUCCAGGAUCUAUUCCCCUAUUCCUGCACACAUGAUCGCAGGCUGGAGGGGAAACAAAAGACUAUUGUGUUCCUUCUGUUGUCGAUAAUGAGGCAGCAGAAUGAACUAAUGGACGCAGUGCAGAUGCGAACUAUGGAGCUGUUAGUUGUGUUAUCUCAAGCGACAUGGAAGGAGUAAACUCAUUCCCCCUCAGUGUGGUACCACAUCAGACAGAAUCCAGUGAAUCUCAAGGAGACGCGAUGAAGUGCAUAACAACGCCGUCUUCAACAAGACAACCAAUUGGGCAUUUUGUGGGUGAUGUCACUGCGAUAGAGCGGGGCACAGAGAAAAGGACUGAAAAUCCACAUAAAAAUGGAUCUCAGUACCGCCUCCUGAGGAGCCUUCAGAAACGUUUCAAUAAGGACGAGAUUGCAAAUGCCGAUGAAACUGUCCCUGAAGUUGUUCAGUCGCGCUCUGCUUUCUUUCCUGCCGAAAUGCCAGAAACACACGAGUACCCAGCAGAAUCUGAGAGUCUAGAUUGCAGGAAAACGCGUCCGCUUCAGCCAUACUCGGCCCUGAAGUGUCAGGAUGAAAACAACAGUUCGACCGCCGCUGAGGGGUGGAGAAUCAAAAUCAGAAGAAAAACGGAAAACGGAAAGAGUAGGAAAGAAACCUGCUGGAAGCAUAGGCCACUCCGGAAGAUUCUGCGGGUUAUGCUGCCGGUACCAUUGAGAUUUGAGGAUCCACGCGAUGAAGAAAAAUUCGCUUCAACAAUUCAG
This 1672-nucleotide long non-coding RNA is filed under the name Toxoplasma gondii VEG. The record is from RNAcentral. Lineage: Eukaryota; Apicomplexa; Conoidasida; Eucoccidiorida; Sarcocystidae.